Molecule: unclassified non-coding RNA, 206 nt
Filed under: uncultured Clavariaceae
Lineage: Eukaryota; Fungi; Basidiomycota; Agaricomycetes; Agaricales; Clavariaceae
Description: sequence contains ITS1
Source: RNAcentral
UUGAUUUAAAGAUGUGCUGGCACUCCUUUAGAGGUUUGCAUGUGCACUCUGCAAAAUCUCCUUCUCUUACCCCAUUGUGCACACCCCAGUAGGCAAACAGAUUUGCAGAGCAAUCUGUGUAAUCCCCGUUGUGCCUAUGUUUUUAUCAAACACCAAUAUUUUCAGAAUGAUAUGUAGUAAGCUUUUUAACAAGCUGAAAUCUAAUA